UUCUAGACUCAUUUUGUGAAUGGUUCUAACAUUACAUUUGAUUGAUUAUUUAUAUGAUGCAGAAUUAAAGUUGAGAAAAUAUAUCCAGUUAGAAUUUUGCAGACAUUUCUUCUUAAACCACUGAUUUUCCUACUAUUGAAAAGGUCAGUGAUGCUUGGAUCCUGCAUCCUACAUGUGUAAUUCAUGGAUUCACAUCUGCUCUUUAUCCCUGAAAUUUUAUCUUGAAGCAGCUCUUUUGCAUUCACAUAGUGAAUGUAGUACUGUAACUUUUAAAUGUAUAUCCUUUAAGAUCUGUUUUAUGUUUUGGCAUUCUUCUCUUGAUCAUUUAUUUUUUUCCCUUUUCUCCUUGUUCAAUUUUCUAGAACUUCUAUUCAUAUGAAGUCCCUUGUAUUAUGAUCUAAUUUUCCCCUAUUUUCUAUUUUCUUAACCAUUUUCCUAUUGUUCUACAUUGUUUGAUAUUUCCUUCAUUUUGUCCCCCAGACUUGAUACUAGAUAUUUCCUUUUAUUGAUCAUAUUUAAUUUCUGCAGGCUCUUUCUUAUACUCUGACUUGCCAAUCUAAGGAUAUUAAUGAUCAUUUUCGGUUGUCUGUUCGCACUCCCUGAUUUGCCUCUAUUUUUCCUAAGUACCCUUCUAUUCAUGUUUCUCUUGUUCUCUUUUCUUUUAUACUAGAAGCUGUUCUCUGCUCUGCUUUGGCAAGAGUGAGACACAAUAAAGCUGGCUAGUUGCUGUAUGUUCAUAGAGAAGGCUGUAAAUGUGAUGCUUACUGUAAGGUGACUAGGUGACGGGGUUAGCGUCUGACCAUUGCACUGGGUCACUUCCUGCAGAUUGUUAUGCCUUGGUCAGCCAGAACAGACCCUCCCAGGCUCAUUGCUGAGGGUGGUAAAUCUGGGUGCUAGUUUCUGGACUUGAGCAGGGGCAAGGAGCUAGCUGAUGGUGAUGAAGAUGAGAGAUGUCUCCGUGUAGACUAUGUAGACUUUCAUUUGAUCUCCUUGUUGUGCUGUGAAUUCUCUACUUGCCUCUGUCAGACCCGUGCCUUGGUCCAUUUUCUGUUGCUCAGGUACCUGAGGCUGAGCAGAUUGUGAAGAACAGAAGUGUACUUUAGUUUCUCAGUUCUGGUGCCUGCUUAUACUCUGGUGAGGGCUCCAUGGUCCAUGGCAUCAUCACAGUGGUGGUGCAUGAAUGCAAGAAGAGGGCACCUGGCUGGACAGGAAGCCAGACACAAAAGUGCAGGGGCCAGACAUACUCAUUAUUCUAAUAAGAACAAACGUUCUGCCUCACUCUUUCCCAAAGGCAGCAUCCCCAAUGACCUACUUCCCGCGCAUGAGGACCCCUGUUAAAGCUUUUAUCACGCCCCUCAUCACCACAGUGUGCAGCAAAGUUAUUCAGCACAGGAACCCUUGUAAGACAAGCUACAUCCUUACUGUAGCAGCAGCCUGGGAACCAGGAAUUUAGACUGGUGACUCCUCUCUCCAAAGUAAUGCACCUUCAUUUCUUCACUCUGGGAAGGGUGUCAGCCACAUCUCUUCAUUCCACGGGACCUCAGGAUGCCUCUGAGGCCAAAGUCACCAAAGUGCUUAAGACAUUCUUCAGCUUAAACCACUUUGUGUGGAUAGUUGGCUUCCCUUCUACGGGAAUAUCUGACUUUCUUUAGCUGCUAGUUCAUUGACCACUUAGCCAUUUCAUUUUUUUUCUUCCAAAAUUCUGUUGACAUCACUUGAUUGCUGUUACCACCUCCCAUUUUUGUUCUUGAAUGUUUCCAUUAUUUUCAUUCCUUUCUUUCUGUUGUCCAGAGAGAUUGGAAAAAGCCAAGAUCAGUGUGGGCAUUCACUCUACUAGUGGCCCCUGGAAUAACUCAGCACUUUCCUGUUUGAAUAUUGAAUGUUAUCCAAUGUUAAAAUGUUUCUCUCACAGAAAAUUCCACAUUAUUUGUUUAUAAGACUUGGAACUUUAACACGGCAGAUUUCAAAAACCUAAAGUAUUAUGUUAACAUAAAGUAUACAAAGGUCAAAUGCAUGUAUUCAAAAGGACUGAAGUGUCAACAUGAUCAUCAUACUAUUUGAGAACAAGAACUUGUGAUUAAAGCCAUUGAUUCGUUUUCAGAAUUUUGAAAAUAUUGACUAACUUCAAGGACUAUAAAACAGUUUAGGUUCUAUGACCCUGACUAAGCCGAUCGUAUCUGGCAACUCAGGUACAAGGUAAAAUAUUGAUGGAACACUCAUCACUGAUGGAAUGCAAUCCCUCCCAGCCCAGGGAAAUCAGUGGGCAGAAGAACUCCAGAAGUCCAGAUAAUAAAUGAAAUGUCCCUGCUGAUAGGUAAAAUAAAUCAUUUCCAUGCGCAUCCUGGCCUGUGUGGAAAAUCCCGAUUGAUAUUUCACUGCAGUCUUACAAAUGCAAAGAUUGUAUUUCUAAGAGAAAAUAACCUAAGUGAAAAUGAAAAGUUUGAGGAAAGGAAUUAGUUUUCUAAUGGUAUUGGGGGAUAAAGGGAGGAUUUUAAUUGGAGCCCAAUGAGAAUUCUCUAAAAAGGAUCUGUGUGUGUAUGUGUGUGUGUCUUU
This is a long non-coding RNA of Ochotona curzoniae (black-lipped pika), 2553 nucleotides long. RefSeq lists it as uncharacterized. The record is from RefSeq and is a predicted model, not a curated record. The transcript has 3 exons. Lineage: Eukaryota; Metazoa; Chordata; Mammalia; Lagomorpha; Ochotonidae.